RNAcentral lists this small RNA (31 nucleotides) under Bombyx mori (domestic silkworm). Its description in RNAcentral is "ovarian small RNA-715". Lineage: Eukaryota; Metazoa; Arthropoda; Insecta; Lepidoptera; Bombycidae. The record is from RNAcentral.
UCGCCGUUGCGAUGGGGCAACGCGCCCACGC